AAAAUGAAUCAAAACUUUCAACAACGGAUCUCUUGGUUCUGGCAUCGAUGAAGAACGCAGCGAAAUGCGAUAAGUAAUGUGAAUUGCAGAAUUCAGUGAAUCAUCGAAUCUUUGAACGCACAUUGCGCCCGCCAGUAUUCUGGCGGGCAUGCCUGUCCGAGCGUCAUUUCAACCCUCG
RNAcentral lists this ribosomal RNA (178 nucleotides) under Trichoderma virens. RNAcentral describes it as "5.8S ribosomal RNA". The stretch from base 13 to 166 matches the Rfam family "5.8S ribosomal RNA". Rfam says of the family: 5.8S ribosomal RNA (5.8S rRNA) is a component of the large subunit of the eukaryotic ribosome. It is transcribed by RNA polymerase I as part of the 45S precursor that also contains 18S and 28S rRNA. RNAcentral also lists the same sequence under 4 other names. Lineage: Eukaryota; Fungi; Ascomycota; Sordariomycetes; Hypocreales; Hypocreaceae. The record is from RNAcentral.